This 247-nucleotide long non-coding RNA is filed under the name Salvia miltiorrhiza (redroot sage). RNAcentral describes it as "long non-coding RNA (SMIL_LNC000394)". The record is from RNAcentral. Lineage: Eukaryota; Viridiplantae; Streptophyta; Magnoliopsida; Lamiales; Lamiaceae.
UCACCGCUUGAUAGAUUGAUAGAUGGAAGGAGUUAAACAAAUAAUCAAUAGUAUAAUUAAUCAAGAUCUUAAUCAACCACAGAUCAACAAAUAACGUAAAACGAGAUAAAAAAAAAAGAGAGAGAACACGUGAAUGAAAUAUUAUUAAAUUCUAAUUUCAAUAUAUUGAUUAUUCCUUUAGGGUUGUGAGUAGCAACUUUAUCUUCUCAAGUAGUGGCCUUACAUCAAGAAAGACACCCACUCUAGC